Molecule: ribosomal RNA, 253 nt
Filed under: uncultured bacterium
Lineage: Bacteria
Description: partial 16S ribosomal RNA
Rfam family: Bacterial small subunit ribosomal RNA
Source: RNAcentral
UACAGAGGUCCCAAGCGUUGUUCGGAUUCACUGGGCAUAAAGAGCGCGUAGGCGGUCUGACAAGUCCCCUGUGAAAGCCCCCGGCUUAACCGGGGAACUGCAUGGGAUACUGUUGGGCUAGAGUGCAGGAGGGGAGAGCGGAAUUCCUGGUGGAGCGGUGAAAUGCGUAGAUAUCAGGAGGAACGCCGGCGGCGAAAGCGACUCUCUGGCCUGUAACUGACGCUGAGGCGCGAAAGCUAGGGGAGCAAACGGG